AAUGAAGUGUCUGAAUAAAGAAUUAUUUUGAUAGAAUAAAAAAUGUGACCAUAUCACCUUCAUUA
This 65-nucleotide transfer RNA is filed under the name Eupatorus gracilicornis. RNAcentral's name for it is "tRNA-Ile". Lineage: Eukaryota; Metazoa; Arthropoda; Insecta; Coleoptera; Scarabaeidae. The record is from RNAcentral.